GUUUGAUCCUGGCUCAGAAUCAACGCUGGCGGCGCGCCUAACACAUGCAAGUCGAACGAGAAAGUGGAGCAAUCCAUGAGUACAGUGGCGUACGGGUGAGUAACACGUGGGUGAUCUACCUCUUAGUGGGGAAUAACUUUGGGAAACCGAAGCUAAUACCGCAUAAGCUCGAGAGAGGAAAGCAGCAAUGCGCUGAGAGAGGAGCCCGCGGCCGAUUAGCUAGUUGGCAGGAUAAAAGCCUACCAAGGCAUAGAUCGGUAGCCGGCCUGAGAGGGCACACGGCCACACUGGCACUGAAACACGGGCCAGACUCCUACGGGAGGCAGCAGUGGGGAAUCUUGCACAAUGGGGGAAACCCUGAUGCAGCGACGCCGCGUGAGCGAUGAAGCCCUUCGGGGUGUAAA
This 404-nucleotide ribosomal RNA is filed under the name uncultured bacterium. RNAcentral's name for it is "bacterial SSU rRNA". It matches the Rfam family "Bacterial small subunit ribosomal RNA", at positions 11 to 429 of the family's 1533-position model. The record is from RNAcentral.